AAUAAUUUUACUGUGAAACUGCGAAUGGCUCAUUAUAUAAGUUAUCGUUUAUUUGAUAGUACCUUACUACAUGGAUAACCGUGGUAAUUCUAGAGCUAAUACAUGCUAAAAACCUCGACUUCGGAAGAGGUGUGUUUAUUAGAUUAAAAACCAAUGCCCUUCGGGGCUCACUGGCGAUUCAUAAUAACCUCUCGAAUCGCAUGGCCUUGCGCCGGCGAUGGUUCAUUCAAAUUUCUUCCCUAUCAACUUUCGAUGCUAGAGUAGUGUUCUAGCAUGGUUACAACGGGUAACGGAGGGUUAGGGCUCGACCCCGGAGAAGGAGCCUGAGAAACGGCUACUACAUCCAAGGAAGGCAGCAGGCGCGCAAAUUACCCAAUCCCGACACGGGGAGGUAGUGACGAUAAAUACUGAUACAGGGCUCUUUUGGGUCUUGUAAUUGGAAUGAGUACAAUUUAAAUCCCUUAACGAGGAACAAUUGGAGGGCAAGUCUGGUGCCAGCAGCCGCGGUAAUUCCAGCUCCAAUAGCGUAUAUUAAAGUUGUUGUGGUUAAAAAGCUCGUAGUAGAACCUUGGGCCUGGCUGGCCGGUCCGCCUCACCGCGUGCACUGGUCCGGCCGGGCCUUUCCCUCUGUGGAACCGCAUGCCCUUCACUGGGUGUGCCGGGGAAACAGGACUUUUACUUUGAAAAAAUUAGAGUGCUCCAGGCAGGCCUUUGCUCGAAUACAUUAGCAUGGAAUAAUAGAAUAGGACGUGUGGUUCUAUUUUGUUGGUUUCUAGGACCGCCGUAAUGAUUAAUAGGGACAGUCGGGGGCAUCAGUAUUCAAUUGUCAGAGGUGAAAUUCUUGGAUUUAUUGAAGACUAACUACUGCGAAAGCAUUUGCCAAGGAUGUUUUCAUUUAUCAGGAACGAAAGUUAGGGGAUCGAAGACGAUCAGAUACCGUCGUAGUCUUAACCAUAAACUAUGCCGACUAGGGAUCGGACGAUGUUAUUUUUUGACUCGUUCGGCACCUUACGAGAAAUCAAAGUGCUUGGGCUCCAGGGGGAGUAUGGUCGCAAGGCUGAAACUUAAAGAAAUUGACGGAAGGGCACCACCAGGGGUGGAGCCUGCGGCUUAAUUUGACUCAACACGGGGAAACUCACCAGGUCCAGACACAAUGAGGAUUGACAGAUUGAGAGCUCUUUCUUGAUUUUGUGGGUGGUGGUGCAUGGCCGUUCUUAGUUGGUGGAGUGAUUUGUCUGCUUAAUUGCGAUAACGAACGAGACCUUAACCUGCUAAAUAGCCCGUAUUGCUUUGGCAGUACGCCGGCUUCUUAGAGGGACUAUC
Molecule: ribosomal RNA, 1323 nt
Filed under: Colletotrichum lupini
Lineage: Eukaryota; Fungi; Ascomycota; Sordariomycetes; Glomerellales; Glomerellaceae
Description: SSU rRNA
Rfam family: Eukaryotic small subunit ribosomal RNA
Source: RNAcentral